CUACGGGAUGCACCAGUGAGGAAUAUUGCACAAUGGGGGGAACCCUGAUGCAGCAACGCCGCGUGGAGGAUGACGCAUUUCGGUGUGUAAACUCCUUUUAUAUGUCAAGAAAAUGACGGUAGCAUAUGAAUAAGCACCGGCUAACUCCGUGCCAGCAGCCGCGGUAAUACGGAGGGUGCAAGCGUUACUCGGAAUCACUGGGCGUAAAGGACGCGUAGGCGGGUGUGGAAAGUCAGGUGUGAAAUCCUACAGCUUAACUGUAGAACUGCACUUGAAACUUCUAAUCUAGAGUAUGGGAGGGGGAGAUGGAAUUAGUGGUGUAGGGGUAAAAUCCGUAGAUAUCACUAGGAAUACCUAAAGCGAAGGCGAUCUCCUGGAACAUUACUGACGCUAAGGCGUGAAGGCGUGGGGAGCAAACAGGAUUAGAUACCCCAGUAGUC
Molecule: ribosomal RNA, 440 nt
Filed under: uncultured bacterium
Lineage: Bacteria
Description: partial 16S ribosomal RNA
Rfam family: Bacterial small subunit ribosomal RNA
Source: RNAcentral